Molecule: long non-coding RNA, 1097 nt
Organism: Dermochelys coriacea (leatherback sea turtle)
Lineage: Eukaryota; Metazoa; Chordata; Testudines; Dermochelyidae
Exons: 2
Source: RefSeq, a predicted model, not a curated record
UAAUUUGUGACGUGAGGGACCUGUCUAAAAGAACCUAUUAGUUUUGCCUAGGAGCAAGCUGGUUCUCUUUGGAGACGGGCUGCUCUCUGUUGUGUGCACUCUUCAAUAAAGAGCUUUGUGUUCGGACCUUGCUGGUGUUGCCUGUCUCUCUGCGGUCAGACAACGAACCGCGCCGUCUGGGGUUUGAGUCCCCGACAAAUCUGGCGACCACGAAGGGACCCGUCUGACUCUCCGGCAUAGGAUCAGACUCUAAAAGCAACGCAGCGCGCAUCCUCCAGCUUCGAGGAGCCUUGCCGAUGAUCUGAUUCCUCCGUCAGCGGUAAGGUGAAAAGUCCUGCUCCAAGGAUCCUGAGCAAACCUGCCAUUUGUUAAAACCAGGUGUCUGGGUCUACAUAAAAGUCCAUCAACGAAAUACUACUCUGGCCCCAUGCUGGAAAGGCCCUUAUUAAGUCCUGUUAAUUACCAACACCACUGUGAAGUGCCAAGGACUGACUGCCUGGAUCCAUGCUUCUUACUGCAAAAAGACGCCUCCACCUCGAGAUGACUUCAUUCGAUACUGCUAGGCCUGUCCCUCCUUCUGGGUUUUUUUCUUUCCUCCUUUUGAUCAGCAGGGGAAAGGACAAGGUGAAGUGCUAGUAACCUCUCCCUUGUCCACUGACAGAGCUAACCUGCAUUGCACCGCUAGGGAACCUGACCUGGAAAAAGCUUCCCCAGAAGCAGAUGGCUUCGGACUUCGAGGGAGCUAUGCACGUUCACUCCACCGUGAACUGUGUGAAUCAGAAGCAGAUGACAUCUGUGCUCAAGACAAAUGGACUGCCACCCCUUUGGGCGACCUGAAGCUCCGACUGCAGCUAAAAAAACCUUGAGUUGGUGGUGUCCACUCAGAGAAGGAUGGCCCCAUUCUCUAAGAUGGGUUUAUGUAUUUUUAAUCUGUUUAUUAUUUGUUAUCUUUAUUUCUUUGGUGGUACGGGGAGUUGAGACUAUAGAAUCACACAGAUCUAACACAUUUAUACAUCUUGCCCAUGAAAUGAAAGCUCGUAUGCCAGCCCUACAAAAUACUUCAUGCUGGGUGUGCUCAUUAAUACCAGCAGAUAGCC